UACGUAGGUGGCAAGCGUUAUCCGGAUUUACUGGGUGUAAAGGGCGUGUAGGCGGGAAAGCAAGUCAGAUGUGAAAACCACGGGCUCAACCUGUGGCCUGCAUUUGAAACUGUUUUCCUUGAGUACUGGAGAGGCAGACGGAAUUCCUCGUGUAGCGGUGAAAUGCGUAGAUAUGAGGAGGAACACCAGUGGCGAAGGCGGUCUGCUGGACAGCAACUGACGCUGAGGCGCGAAAGCGUGGGGUGCAAACAGG
This 253-nucleotide ribosomal RNA is filed under the name uncultured bacterium. Its description in RNAcentral is "partial 16S ribosomal RNA". It matches the Rfam family "Bacterial small subunit ribosomal RNA", at positions 524 to 776 of the family's 1533-position model. The record is from RNAcentral.